GGAGGUAUAGCUCAAGUGGUGGAGCACAUGAAUAGCAUGCUCAGGGUCCUGGGUUCAAUCCCCAGUACCACCC
RNAcentral lists this transfer RNA (73 nucleotides) under Camelus bactrianus (Bactrian camel). It matches the Rfam family "tRNA". Rfam says of the family: Transfer RNA (tRNA) molecules are approximately 80 nucleotides in length. Their secondary structure includes four short double-helical elements and three loops (D, anti-codon, and T loops). The record is from Rfam by way of RNAcentral. Lineage: Eukaryota; Metazoa; Chordata; Mammalia; Artiodactyla; Camelidae. RNAcentral also lists the same sequence under 2 other names.